RNAcentral lists this long non-coding RNA (606 nucleotides) under Equus asinus (donkey). RNAcentral describes it as "lncRNA (ENSEASG00005023669.1)". Lineage: Eukaryota; Metazoa; Chordata; Mammalia; Perissodactyla; Equidae. The record is from RNAcentral.
GAGGAAAGCCGUUCAUGGUUCUUUAGUUCUCAUCCUGCAUGCUGUGAAAACAGCUGUAAAUUUCUAUCUGUCACAUGGGUCUAGUUCAUGGCUGGUAGAUGUACCUGAUGGGCCAUAGAAGUGACUGGCUCAGCUCCUGUUGGGCUCAGGAAAGAGAGUCUACCUGAGAGAAUCAGUUGUGUGCCCCACCCUGAAAGUACCCUCGGUGCCAUCAAAAGUACUGGUGAUGCAACAUUCCUUAAGCAAGGCUCCACCAUUUUUUUCCUGAGAUUUUCUUCUAAGUUUCUGACAUCCAUUCUGCAGGUUUUGAUGCCUGUGCUUUCUUCAUCUUACCAAAAGCUGUCAAUGGAAGAUUUCAGGCAACAGAACCUGAUGAACAGUCUUGAUUGCUGAGGUGGCUUUGCUGAACAUAGGCAUCUGGGUCGCAGGUUCACGGCAUCUUGCAGCAUCCUCUUGGGCAUAUCACCAUCUCGUAUAGUCAAAGCUGCGUCACUGCCAUAUUCAAAUUCCAACCAGCAAGAAAGAGAAGGAGAGCCUGGAGGAAGCAUACCUAACGUCAAGUCCCAGAGCUGAAAGUGGCACCCAUCAUUUCUGCUCACAGCCCAC